Molecule: ribosomal RNA, 675 nt
Filed under: Triticum aestivum (bread wheat)
Lineage: Eukaryota; Viridiplantae; Streptophyta; Magnoliopsida; Poales; Poaceae
Description: partial small subunit ribosomal RNA
Source: RNAcentral
AUGACGCCCGUUAGGAGCCAUAAAAAUGUUGAGUUGGAACUGUCGAGGCUGGGUCAGCCUCGUACAGUUCAAGAGUUGGUGUGCCUCACUAAGACGCACAGACCCAAUGUCAUCUUUUUAUCUGAAACAAGGAAAAAUAAAGAGUAUGUUGAGAGUUUGCGCUACAGGUUGGGUAUGAAUAAUGUGUUUACUAUUUCUGGCCAAGGUAAAGGUGGAGGACUAGCUGUGUUUUGGGAUGAGGCCUACUCUUGUGAGUUGAACAGAUAUGGGGAUCAUUUUAUUGAUAUGUACCUCGGCAAGGGAGAUGGAACAAAGUGGAUGUGCACUUUCAUUUAUGGUGAGCCUAAGGCAAGCCAAAGGUACAUUAUGUGGGAUCUCUUGAGACGGUUAAAACCUAUUGGUGUAGGAGCUUGGUUUAUGGCUGGAUCUGGGGUGUUUGAGCGCCGCAGGCCCCCUUCCCCGGUGGAUGUCGUGGUGGUCUGGUCCGUCGUUUUGGCGUGGUGUUGGGGCUGCUCCCUGUGUUGGUGGAGAUGCUCGUGGUGGGUGGAUGCCGGGGUGGCGGCCCCGGGCUGUGCGGGUGGCGUCGGCUCUAUGGCGUGCGGCGGCCGCGAGGGCUAUACCGCAACCUCGGUCGUGCGGGCGACGAGGUUGUGGCGGGCGUGCUCUGUCUGGUGA